This 497-nucleotide ribosomal RNA is filed under the name uncultured bacterium. RNAcentral's name for it is "partial 16S ribosomal RNA". It matches the Rfam family "Bacterial small subunit ribosomal RNA", at positions 28 to 507 of the family's 1533-position model. The record is from RNAcentral.
GAUGAACGCUGGCGGCGUGCCUAAUACAUGCAAGUCGAGCGAACAGACGAGGAGCUUGCUCCUCUGACGUUAGCGGCGGACGGGUGAGUAACACGUGGAUAACCUCCCUAUAAUACUGGGAUAACUUCGGGAAACCGGAGCUAAUACCGGAUAAUAUAUUGAACCGCAUUGUUCAUUAGUGAAAGUCGGUUUUGCUGUCACUUAUAGAUGCUUCCGCGCCGCAUUAGCUAGUUGGUAAGUUAACGGCUUACCAAGGCAACGAUGCGUAGCCGACCUGAGAGGGGGAUCGGCCACACUGGAACUGAGACACGGUCCAGACGCCUACGGGAGGCAGCAGUAGGGAAUCUUCCGCAAUGGGCGAAAGCAUGACGGAGCAAGGCCGCGUGAGUGAUGAAGGUCUUCGGAUCGUAAAACUCUGUUAUUAGGGAAGAACAAAUGUGUAAGUAACUAUGCACGUCUUGACGGUACCUAAUCAGAAAGCCACGGCUAACUACGUG